Long non-coding RNA from Esox lucius (northern pike), 685 nucleotides. The record is from Ensembl. Lineage: Eukaryota; Metazoa; Chordata; Actinopteri; Esociformes; Esocidae.
CGGAGAUGUCAGCAAUGACACUAGUAGAGUGCAAUCUCUGCAUUGCUAAGUGGCUGUCACAUUCUUUUAAAGGUAUCCAUCAACUGAGCCACAACUCAAGCAAGCCACAGACAGCCCUAGAGGGGGGAAAUACCUUUAACAUGCAUGCAACACGACGAGCACAACGAUGUGACCGGAGCGUUGCCAUGAUACUCCACGCCCGCAGCUUCAGCCCAGUCCAGAAGCAACCCGUAGUCACUUGGUUGGUUCUGAAAGGAAUGGACAGCUAGAAACACCGCAGCUAAAAUUCCAGCAAUCCUGUAAGAGGGAAAGCUUGGGGAUUCAUACCAGCAGCCUAUCGGUUACUGGUCCAUUUGUAAGCUGUCUAACGCCUCGCUAACAAAUGGAAGAGGAGAGAAGGAGAGGUUAAGUAAAGAGGACAAGCUGAAACACAGAAAAAAGAGAAGUGGCAGAGACAUGGAUAAAGGAGGGCAUUUGGGAUUAAAGUCUCUAUGUCAUCAACACAGAGAAAAAGAUGAUAGCCCUGGAGGAGAAAAGGAGAAAUUUGAGGACAAAGUGAGAACGAUUGAGGAGGCAGCUAAAUGAUGAAAUGAAAAAGAUUAACUUAUUAAGUGUGAGACAGAGCAACUCACAAGAGCCCCUCCCUCAGAGAAAUGACCAGAAAACCACAUCACAAAACAACACC